This 551-nucleotide long non-coding RNA is filed under the name Numida meleagris (helmeted guineafowl). Its description in RNAcentral is "lncRNA (ENSNMEG00000014360.1)". Lineage: Eukaryota; Metazoa; Chordata; Aves; Galliformes; Numididae. The record is from RNAcentral.
UUCCAUACAUCUGUGCCUGCCACUGUCAGAUACACUCAGAUUUUUCUACUGCCUCUGGGUGAUGGUCAUCCUAGGAGCACAGUGAUACAGAGAAGCACACAUUUAAAAGAGUCCGGUUCCUCAGUGAAAGUAGAUCAAGAAGGUCUUUAAGUUUAGAAUAUCACAGGAGUGCUAUAGAAUUGUAUGGCUGUGCACUAGCUACAAAUACAAUUUAAUUUAUUAUUCCUAAACAAUUCUCUCUGUCCCUUCUUCCUCUCUCUUCACAGAUACAAUGCUUUUUUCAGACAGAAAUUUGUAAGGAGAAGACUGAUUACACUACCUCUUGUUGAGCCAAAAGUCUGGAACUGUUGAGGGCUGCAGCAGCUAUACUCCAGCUUAAUAAACUGAGUCCAACCUACAGUCUACCUGCAAAGUGACACCAUCAGCCCUGCUAAAUGGGAACACAUCUUUAUAAGUGUCAUGAAGAAGAUACACAAAACCAAGAAAAUCUUAUCAGUGAGGAGUGGAUGGAUGAAAACCCCUGCUGAAUACUGUAUCCAGGCAUAAAGAUC